CCUCAAAGCCUGCCCCCCAACUUUUAGAAGCUUCCUACGCCCCUGUUCCGACGGGUCUCAACAAUAGGGAGGGCAUGACCCCCCCGGCCACGGCGCCACUGCGAGGCGUAUAUUUUCGACACAGAUAUCGGUCUCUUCGUCGCGGUGUGUAUCCAGUGGCAGUUGUGUCACUUCGUCGCGUCAUGCAUCUCCUCGACGCAACGUCAAACCAUGGAUAAUAAAAUUACCCAUGGUCAAACGAAGAGAUCACGUACUGGAUACAUGCCGCGAUGAAGAGAUCGAAAACAUACGCCUCGACGAAGUGAGACAUGAGACAUACAACGACGAAUUAUUAGACGCCGCGACGAACUCGAGAAACGAGUAAACGACUAGUUGACACGUCCAAAUGAACGACGAAC
Non-coding RNA from Paramuricea clavata, 398 nucleotides. The record is from the annotation of a GenBank genome assembly. NCBI's taxonomy places the organism in Eukaryota, Metazoa, Cnidaria, Anthozoa, Malacalcyonacea, Plexauridae.